Molecule: ribosomal RNA, 475 nt
Filed under: uncultured bacterium
Lineage: Bacteria
Description: SSU rRNA
Rfam family: Bacterial small subunit ribosomal RNA
Source: RNAcentral
AGAACGAACGCUGGCGGCAUGCCUAACACAUGCAAGUCGAACGCUUCACCGGUUUCGGCCGGUGGGGAGUGGCGCACGGGUGAGUAGCGCGUGGGAACCUGCCCUGUUGUGGGGGAUAACCGAGGGAAACUUCGGCUAAUACCGCAUAAGCCGGUUGUCUUGAAAGGGAUGGCCGGGAAAGAUUUAUCGCGACAGGAGGGGCCCGCGUCGGAUUAGCUAGUUGGUGGGGUAACGGCCCACCAAGGCUGUGAUCCGUAGCUGGUCUGAGAGGAUGAUCAGCCACACUGGGACUGAGACACGGCCCAGACUCCUACGGGAGGCAGCAGUGGGGAAUAUUGGACAAUGGGCGCAAGCCUGAUCCAGCAAUGCCGCGUGAGUGAUGAAGGCCUUAGGGUUGUAAAGCUCUUUCGCCCGCGACGAUGAUGACGGUAGCGGGAGAAGAGCCCGGCUAACUUCGCGCCAGCAGCCGCGGUAA